Molecule: long non-coding RNA, 455 nt
Filed under: Elaeis guineensis (African oil palm)
Lineage: Eukaryota; Viridiplantae; Streptophyta; Magnoliopsida; Arecales; Arecaceae
Description: long non-coding RNA (EGUI_LNC061756)
Source: RNAcentral
AUGACAGUCCAUAUGGAACAGUUCGACCUGCUGGUUCAGCAGGUCAGGGGCCUCACCGAAGUGGUGCAGGCCAUGUAGUAGCAGCUGCAGGCAUCUGUGCAGCUGGAAAGAGCAUCAUCAGAGUUCCAAAAUCUAGCGAUCGGGCGGUCACUUGGGCCAGUCGCCCUGUAUCCCCCGAAAAGGGGAAGCAGAGGGUGGAGAGCCCUUUGUCUGAUCGUGAUUCCACCCCCGGAGGAUCCCUACCUCCAUUCUGCCAGAAGACCCUCGAGAUUCAUGAUUGAGAGGAUCUCUUGGAUCAAAGGAUCCAAGAGAUGAACCAGCAGAUUGAAGAGCUCCGCCAUGCUCCCCCUACUUAUGGUGAGGAUAUCUGUACUGACCCUCUUUUUUCUCAAAGGAUAAUGCAGGAACCGAUCCUGUCGAACUUCAAGCUCCCCCAAUUUGAGAGCUACGACGGG